CUUCAGAAAAAAUAAAAUGAGCUGUUCUGGGAAACUGGUGUGUAGAGCUGCAGUGAACUCUUGCUGCCACUCCAAUGCACACUCAACUUCUGUAUUUUUGACACAGCAGUUUCAGAAAAAGGUAAAGCAUAAUCUAAAAAAUGUCUUUAAUUCCCACAAAGAAUGUUCUAGGAUUUGGAGAAGCUUCCUUACUAGUUGAGCUAAUUGAGUUGCAAGUCUAAGACAGGAAAUUUUUGGGUUUAAUUCCUAAAUCUGCCUGAGUAAUCCAGGGUAAAAAUUCUGCCUUGUUUUAAUAUAUCUGAUCCUUAUGUGUUUGAUAUGCUAAUUGCUGCUAGAUUUUGUAUUUGUUUAUUAGAGCAACCUUCCACUGCACAUUUCCAUGGAAUCUUUUCUCAACAUUAUUUAAUAAUCCUUGAUUUCAGCAUUAUAUGAUUUGUCUGAAACUGUGUCCUCAUUUUUAUCACAUUCCUUACUGUAUUUCUCAAGCUAAAAAGAACUCCACCAAUUUAUUCUGAGAAACUUUCAGGUGCUGGGCUUUAGCUUCUCACAGGAAUAGACACAAGGUUGGGAUUAAAAGCAACAGAACCCCCAAAGUCAUUGACAGAGCUGUUAUAUGUGAAACUGAAUUUCAUGAGGUGUUGGUAGACUUGAGAUAUCUCAGUAAAGCACAUUGUUCUGAUAUCUUUUUAAGGUAGAAUUCCUCAAAUUUACUCAUUCAAGCCAGCAUUUCUCAAUGUUUAUGAAGGGAUAUGUCUAGUAAAAAGGUCCCAAGAGCAGCCAUUAUGUUCAUUUUGUAAAAUUCUCUGUGUUCUUUGAGAUUAUGUAUGUGCUAUUCCUUUCCAAUUAUAUUGUAUAAUUGUAUUCAAAAGCAAGGUGUCUUCUAACUUUAAAUGGGUUUAAUCAUAGCCUUGAAAGUUGUGUUGUUUCGUUUUUAAUUAGAUAAUGUUAAAAGUCAAUAAUCAAGGUAUAUUAAGAGGAUAUAUAGGUCCUCAACCCAAAUAAAGGGAACAGCUGUG
RNAcentral lists this long non-coding RNA (1016 nucleotides) under Zonotrichia albicollis (white-throated sparrow). RNAcentral describes it as "lncRNA (ENSZALG00000004530.1)". Lineage: Eukaryota; Metazoa; Chordata; Aves; Passeriformes; Passerellidae. The record is from RNAcentral.